UGCGGGGUCGUCUAACGGUAGGACACCGCCCCUUGGAGGCGGCUAUCUUGGUCCGAAUCCAAGCCCCGCAA
Molecule: transfer RNA, 71 nt
Filed under: Patescibacteria group bacterium
Lineage: Bacteria
Description: tRNA-Gln
Rfam family: tRNA
About the family: Transfer RNA (tRNA) molecules are approximately 80 nucleotides in length. Their secondary structure includes four short double-helical elements and three loops (D, anti-codon, and T loops). Further hydrogen bonds mediate the characteristic L-shaped molecular structure. tRNAs have two regions of fundamental functional importance: the anti-codon, which is responsible for specific mRNA codon recognition, and the 3' end, to which the tRNAs corresponding amino acid is attached (by aminoacyl-tRNA synthetases). tRNAs cope with the degeneracy of the genetic code in two manners: having more than one tRNA (with a specific anti-codon) for a particular amino acid; and 'wobble' base-pairing, i.e. permitting non-standard base-pairing at the 3rd anti-codon position.
Source: RNAcentral